This 376-nucleotide ribosomal RNA is filed under the name uncultured organism. Its description in RNAcentral is "partial 16S ribosomal RNA". It matches the Rfam family "Bacterial small subunit ribosomal RNA", at positions 527 to 896 of the family's 1533-position model. The record is from RNAcentral.
GUAGGUGGCAAGCGUUGUCCGGAAUUAUUGGGCGUAAAGCGCGCGCAGGCGGUUCCCUUUAAGGUCUGAUGUGAAAGCCCACGGGCUCAACCGUGGAGGGUCAUUGGAAACUGGAGAACUUGAGUACAGAAGAGGAAAGCGGAAUUCCACGUGUAGCGGUGAAAUGCGUAGAGAUGUGGAGGAACACCAGUGGCGAAGGCGGCUUUCUGGUCUGUAACUGACGCUGAGGCGCGAAAGCGUGGGGAGCAAACAGGAUUAGAUACCCUGGUAGUCCACGCCGUAAACGAUGAGUGCUAAGUGUUAGGGGGUUUCCGCCCCUUAGUGCUGCAGCUAACGCAUUAAGCACUCCGCCUGGGGAGUACGGCCGCAAAGGCUG